Molecule: long non-coding RNA, 2174 nt
Filed under: Piliocolobus tephrosceles (Ugandan red Colobus)
Lineage: Eukaryota; Metazoa; Chordata; Mammalia; Primates; Cercopithecidae
Description: lncRNA (ENSPTEG00000008990.1)
Source: RNAcentral
AAGCAUCAAAAUAUAUAUAAUUUAUUUGAAAAAAAAGAACACUUAGAUGAAAUGAAAAAAGUAAAAGAAUUAAAAAAAAGUGAAAUUAAAGAAUUUGUACUUACAUAUAAUGAGUUGACUUCACCUAGUAUGAAUUAUGAAACAAUGAUGGAAAAUAAUAAAGACAAUAUAGAAUUCCAAAAAGAAAUUGGAAACAAUGUAGUAACUACUCAAAUAAAUAAAAAUAAAAUAGAUUUACAUUAUUUAAGAAAACAAAAUAAACAACUAAAAGAAGAAAUAAAUUAUGCUACUAAAUAUGGACAUGUAGAAGGUAUAAAUAUGAAAAAUCAGUCAAAUGAAAAACAUAAUAAAAACAAUUUUAUAAAUGAAUACGAUUCUUAUUUUGAUACAUACACACAAACAGAAUCAAGUGGGGAGACAAAUAGGGGCAUGUCCGAAAAUGACACAUAUGGUGAAGACACAUUUGGUGAAAACAGAUAUGGUCAAGACAGAUAUGGUGAAAACACAUACGGCAAUAACAAAUACGAUGAAGAAGCAAAUAAUGAUAUAUAUAAAAUAAAAAAUCACGAUAAAAUAAAUAACAAUAGUUAUAAUCUUUCUGAAGAUGAUAACAACAAAUCUACUUUAUUAUAUUUAAAAAAAAAUAUAUCAGAAAUAAAACAAAGUGUAUUAAAUGAAUAUAAUAAUAAAAAUACGAAUGAGCUGGAAAAAAAAAAUUACACAAAUUGUGAUAUUAACAACGUUGAUAAUAAUAUUAAGAAUAAAAAUAAUGAUAUAACACAUGAAACAUUAUUAACUAACUUGUAUGAGAAAAGCAAGGUUGAAAAUGUGAAUAAAAAUUAUAAACAGGCAAAUGUAAAUCAGCUCAAUGGGAUAAGUGACUAUCAUGGCCAUAUUAGCGAAAUACAAACAAGUAAUAAAAAUAAUACAUCCUACAAAGGAAAAAUGGUGGAAACUUAUUUAAAUGACGUAGGAGAUGGAGAGGAAGAGGGAGAGGAAGAGGGAGAGGAAGAUGAAGAGGGAGAGGAAGAUGAAGAGGGAGAGGAAGAGGAAGAUGAAGAGGAAGAAGAAGAAGAAGAAGAAGAAGAAGAAGGAGGAGAAGAAGGAGGAGGAGAAGAGGACGAUAUUGAAAACUUGGAUGUCGAACAAACAAGAAUAAAAAAAGUAUAUGACUAUUUGUUGCCUAAUGGAAAUAAAAAAAAGUUACCUUUUGAACAUGGUAAUGAGAUUGAGUUUGACCAGAGUAAUAGUGACAUGUAUAAGCAGGAAGUGGAUAAACAUGAUGCAGACAAUCAGGAUGCAGACAAUCAGGAUGCAGACAAACAGGAUGCGGACAAAGACAACGAAGAUUCAUUUUUUGACAUAAAAGAACAACUACAAUAUAUUUUGAAUCAAAAUAUAAAUAUGAACAUUGCACAUAAUGAGGAAAAGUGUAUAGAAGAAGCAUCAAAAUUAUUUGGAGAAGACAUAAAAACAUGGUAUGAUAAAAUGUACUAUUAUUUUGGUAGUCCUGACAAUGUAUCACUAGAUAAUUUACAAAUAUAUGAUGAUGAAGAAUAUAAAAAAGGAAUAAGUAAUACUCAAAAUACUGAUUUUUCUGAUUACGAAAAAUUAUUAAAUAAAAAUUCUUGGGCUGUUGAUAAUGAACAAGGUUUUAUAGCAGCGAAUUAUAAGGACAAUAUAAAUAACAUGAUUAGUACCUCAAAUGAUAGUAGUAAUAAUAAUAAAUUGAAUCAUAAUAAAAAUAAUAAACAUAUAAAAGAAUUUAAAACCAAUAUUAAUAAUAACAAAAUGGACACUACACAACAAUAUGAUAGUAUUGAUAAAUUACAAAUAGAACAACAAAACCCAUUGGAAAGAAAAACAAACAAUACAUCAUUAUCGGUUGAUUGUAUUGCAAAUGAACAAAAUGAAUAUGGAGAACAUCAUAUUGAUCAAUAUUUAGAAACGUUUUUUAGUGACAGUCAGGAUAAACCUGUGCAUGAAGAUAUACCGGGUGGUAUGUAUAAUGAUUUGUCACCUAACGUACAUAAUGAUAUGAAACACAAUGUAUAUAAUGAUUUAUCACAUACACUGCAUGACAAUAUGGUAUAUGACGCACAUGACUGUACAAAUAUAAAUAAAAUAAAUAACACAGUAGAAAAAAAACCAAUGAAUGAAUGUUCAAAUUCUAC